RNAcentral lists this ribosomal RNA (450 nucleotides) under fungal sp. BB3. RNAcentral's name for it is "eukaryotic LSU rRNA". The stretch from base 91 to 232 matches the Rfam family "5.8S ribosomal RNA". The record is from RNAcentral. Lineage: Eukaryota; Fungi.
AAUACACCCUGUGAACCGUCAUCCUUCGGGAUGCUCAUAUACAAACUCUAGUGGUGUCAUUGAAUGUAUACGUUAUACCAUAACAAUCAUAACUUUUAGCAACGGAUCUCUUGGCUCUCGCAUCGAUGAAGAACGCAGCGAAAUGCGAUACGUAAUGUGAAUUGCAGAAUAGUGAAUCAUCGAAUCUUUGAACGCACCUUGCACCCCUUGGGGUAUGCCAGUUUGAGAGCCACCUAACCGUCGCGCUUGUAGCUUUUGCUACUUGAGCGGAUUUGAGUGUAUUGCCGGCCUCGGCGGCUCGCUCUGAAUGCAUGAGCGUCUAGAGAGCGCAUGACAACGUGAUAAGUAUUUCGGUGUGGUGUUCUUUGGGGACGCUUCCAAUCGCCCUUGGACAAUGUAACCAAUGCUAGGCAUCAAAGUGGUAGGACUACCCGCUGAACUUAAGCAUAU